Fonsecaea multimorphosa CBS 102226 is the source of this 104-nucleotide non-coding RNA. Lineage: Eukaryota; Fungi; Ascomycota; Eurotiomycetes; Chaetothyriales; Herpotrichiellaceae. The record is from the annotation of a RefSeq genome assembly.
ACCGGGUUGGUGUAGCGGUUAACAUUACUGUCUCUCAUGGUCAGAGUUUAUCAGCUCUGAUGUGAGAAGCACAGUCGCCCCUGGUUCGAAUCCGGGACUCGGUG